GAAGCUAGACACGCUUUCCCGGGGAGGCACGCCCCUACGCAGAGAUAGACACGCCCCCAAGCACAAUGGCACGCCCCCUAUAGAGCGAGACACACCCCCGAGUCAAACUGCACUUGACUGUUAGGACGCUAGGAGCUCCCAUGCCUCGAAGUUGUAGUGGGCUCCAGCAGUUAGCUACUAUCUUUUGUUAGGGCUGAGGCAACACCGGUUAGGACUUGGGCAGCUUCACCACAGAACAGACUUUCUCAAGUUGACAUAUUUUAUUCUCAUGAAGUCCACCUUUUUUCAUUCACAUGGAAAAAGAGUGAUUAUGAAGUCAUGCUGUAAACUGUAACCUUUCUCAUUUACUUGGAUAUAAGAGUGUUCAACUCACUUAGCAAAGACGGUGCUACCUGAAUUGGAGGCUGGUGUCUUCUGACUCCUUCAACUCCCUUUGAGGUAGGUCCAUUGGUAACACCUCGUCUUGGCAGCUUGCACAGCAUCUUCUGAUGCUAGGAGAGCUUGUCUUCAGGGAAGAAGUUUCCAGGUCAGCUUGGUUCUUCCAAGGCCUGUGUCUGAAGCAAGAGGGUCUUAGCCUUCAACAAUAGGGUCUUACCUUCAAGUUCUGUGAGGAUGUGGGAGUGAUGGUUGCAGCACAUCCUGCUUACUGAUGAUGAGAGCUACACACAGGAGGAAGUGGAACGGCGCCUUGGAAACAGUCACUACUGUGGUCAGUGCCUCCUGAGGACUGCACUAAACCACAGAAGAGGGUAAUAGAAGCUGCAUGCUGUUUAAAGUUCUGUUUGUGCCUCUGAAACUAGUCAUGACCACUGUGAGGUUUUUAUUUGGUUAGCUGUCUUUAGAGUAGCACGUAUAACCCCUUGAUAAAAUGUUUAAAGAAAACAGCAGUCUCUCUCACCACUGUCAGUCCUCUCUUUUCUGCUACUGAAAAAAAUCAAUGUGAGCCGAUGAACGGACGCCAAUACAGUUUAAAUAUGUGACCUAUA
This 986-nucleotide small RNA is filed under the name Rattus norvegicus (Norway rat). Its description in RNAcentral is "uncharacterized LOC102556915". The record is from RNAcentral. Lineage: Eukaryota; Metazoa; Chordata; Mammalia; Rodentia; Muridae.